RNAcentral lists this ribosomal RNA (253 nucleotides) under uncultured bacterium. Its description in RNAcentral is "partial 16S ribosomal RNA". It matches the Rfam family "Bacterial small subunit ribosomal RNA", at positions 524 to 776 of the family's 1533-position model. The record is from RNAcentral.
UACGAAGGGGGCUAGCGUUGCUCGGAAUCACUGGGCGUAAAGGGUGCGUAGGCGGGUCUUUAAGUCAGGGGUGAAAUCCUGGAGCUCAACUCCAGAACUGCCAUUGAAACUGUUUAGCUGGAGUAUGAGAGAGGUGAGUGGAAUUCCCAGUGUAGAGGUGAAAUUCGUAGAUAUUGGGAAGAACACCGGUGGCGAAGGCGGCCCACUGGCUCAUUACUGACGCUCAUGCGCGACAGCGUGGGGAUCAAACAGG